CCGUACGAUGGACGGGCCAGCGUGCCCGACGAGUCGGGUAGGGAAUCCGGUGCGAAUCCGGGACUGACGCGCAGCGGUGAGAGCGACGCUCCGGACAACAUGCCACUGGUGAGAACUGGGAAGGCGUUCGAGAAGCGGUAGACCUCGAGUCCGAAGACCUGCUGGCUCCGGCGGGCAGCG
RNAcentral lists this non-coding RNA (180 nucleotides) under Gordonia malaquae. Lineage: Bacteria; Bacillati; Actinomycetota; Actinomycetes; Mycobacteriales; Gordoniaceae. The record is from RNAcentral. RNAcentral also lists the same sequence under 1 other name.